RNAcentral lists this ribosomal RNA (496 nucleotides) under uncultured bacterium. RNAcentral describes it as "partial 16S ribosomal RNA". It matches the Rfam family "Bacterial small subunit ribosomal RNA", at positions 29 to 507 of the family's 1533-position model. The record is from RNAcentral.
AUGAACGCUGGCGGCGUGCCUAAUACAUGCAAGUCGAGCGAACAGAUGAGGAGCUUGCUCCUCUGACGUUAGCGGCGGACGGGUGAGUAACACGUGGAUAACCUACCUAUAAGACUGGGAUAACUUCGGGAAACCGGAGCUAAUACCGGAUAAUAUAUUGAACCGCAUGGUUCAAUAGUGAAAGACGGUUUUGCUGUCACUUAUAGAUGGAUCCGCGCCGCAUUAGCUAGUUGGUAAGGUAACGGCUUACCAAGGCAACGAUGCGUAGCCGACCUGAGAGGGUGAUCGGCCACACUGGAACUGAGACACGGUCCAGACUCCUACGGGAGGCAGCAGUAGGGAAUCUUCCGCAAUGGGCGAAAGCCUGACGGAGCAACGCCGCGUGAGUGAUGAAGGUCUUCGGAUCGUAAAACUCUGUUAUUAGGGAAGAACAAAUGUAUAAGUAACUAUGCACGUCUUGACGGUACCUAAUCAGAAAGCCACGGCUAACUACGUG